Long non-coding RNA from Colius striatus (speckled mousebird), 395 nucleotides. RefSeq lists it as uncharacterized. The transcript has 3 exons. The record is from RefSeq and is a predicted model, not a curated record. Lineage: Eukaryota; Metazoa; Chordata; Aves; Coliiformes; Coliidae.
UAAAGCACCCGGACAGACACAAACAGAGCAAAACAAAACAAAAACAGCCACAACGGAGUGAGAAAUGUGCAAAAUGAAAUCAACUAGGAUCGGGAGCGGAGACUGGAGAGGCUGAAGGAAGAGUGGGGGUGCUGGGAGAGUGGCCGCCAUCAUCAGCAGCAACAGAGAAGAGCAAAUCGGACAGGCCCCUCUUAAGAGAGGAUUUAUAUAUAGGUAUUUUGUCUCCCUCUCUCCCUCGCUCUCGGAGAUGAGUGAGUGUCAGUAAGUGUUGGCAGGUUGGCUGCUGGCUGCCUUAUAGAAGAGGCUCAGUUUUGCAGCGCUGAUCGGCGGGAGAAUGAAGUGACGGAACCCGGAAGUAGUGGUGGCCAUAGCCAGUCCUGCAGCGCGGCGGCGGC